CCAGAAUUCGAAUUUUCCCAAUUUGAACCCUUCUCGGUUAUCGUGCAAGUACAGUAAAUUCGUCCAUCAGAUUUAUGAAUUGAACGGACUACGACAGCGCGUUCAGCACUUUCGGACCUUCGAGAUCAUGUUUUCGUUUCACGUGAUUUGGUUGCGGAUUCGUGAAGAUCCGAUCAUCCUAACCACACAUUUCUUAAUCCAAGGGCUAAAAAACUAAUAGCACCAACAGCUUCGUACUAUUAAUAGUAUUUCAACCUAGUUCUAUAUAUAUAUAUAUAUAUAUAUAUAUAGAGAGAGAGAGAGAGAGAGAGAGAGAGAGAGAGAGAGAUAUAUAUAUAUAUAUAUAUAUAUAUAUAUAUAUAAAAAUAAAGAGAGAGAGAGAGAAAGAGUCCGGCUACUAUACUCUUAUGAGUACGAUCGCCUUCGUACUCAUAAGUCGUUUUCGAUGAUAGAGCUUCCAAAUCGACGAUCCAUACAGUUAAACAUUCUCUAGAGCAUUUAAAACUUCUAGAAAUCAAAUUUCAUAAUUUUUCAACAUCAUUUACCUUACGAUCAAAAGUUCACAAAAUUGACAAUUUUUAACGGUCGGUAUGGGAUACUUGCUAGUUUAACGGUGCAAAAGAAUCGGAAUAGGUUGAAUUUUUGAUAGAAAAUUCUAUUCACUACCUAGAUAAAGAUCAAUAACUCCGAUCUAUCCGAUCAUCCAGUUUAGGAUGUCGUCCGAUAUAUCCGAUCAUCCAUUCUUUUCUAGAAGUUUCAAAUACUCUAGAUCAUAUUUAACAGAAUGGAUCAUCCAUUUGCAAGCUCUAACAUGGAAAACAACUUCUGAGUACGAAGGGCCAAACACUCAUUAAGAGUAUUUAGUAGCCCCAUAUAUUAUAUAUAUAUAUAUAUAAUAUAUAUAUAUAUAUAUAUAUAUAUAUAUAUAUAUAUAUAUAUAAUAUAUAUAUUAUAUAUAUAUAUAUAUACUAUUAUAUUAUAUAUAUAUAUAUUUGAUUUGAAAUUCGAAUUCAAAUUCAAAUUUUGAAUUCCUCAAAUUACAAAUAUCCCAGAUAUUAUAUGAUCCUCUAGAGUUAAGUGGAUGGUUGGUUGAAUAGUAUGAUCUAACGGGUAGAAAUGAUUAAAGGGAUAGUAUCAAGCGCUUGGUGCUAUCAAGUUUUUUGUCGUUAAAUCUACCCCUUUGAACAUUUCCACAUGUUGGAUCAUACUAUUCAACCAACCACCAUUCAACCAGCCACCCAGUCAAUUCUAGGGGACCAUUAUCAUCCUAACUGGAGACAACUAUCAUCCUAACCGUACAUUCCUUCGUUCAAGGGCCGAGAAAACCUAAUAGCACAAAGCAGUGGGUACUAAUAAUAGUAUAGUAA
This 1367-nucleotide long non-coding RNA is filed under the name Ananas comosus (pineapple). Its description in RNAcentral is "long non-coding RNA (ACOM_LNC026908)". The record is from RNAcentral. Lineage: Eukaryota; Viridiplantae; Streptophyta; Magnoliopsida; Poales; Bromeliaceae.